UACGAAGGGGGCUAGCGUUGCUCGGAAUCACUGGGCGUAAAGGGUGCGCAGGCCGCGCGGGCAGUCAAAUGUGUAAUUCAGGGGCUCAACCCCUGCACUGCGCUUGAUACUUCCGCGCUCGAGCUUUGGAGAGGAGUCUGGAAUUCUCGGUGUAGCAGUGAAAUGCGUGGAUAUCGAGAAGAACACUUAGGGCGUAGGCAAGACUCUGGACAAAUGCUGACGCUCAUGCACGAAGGCUAGGGUAGCGAACGGG
Molecule: ribosomal RNA, 253 nt
Filed under: uncultured bacterium
Lineage: Bacteria
Description: partial 16S ribosomal RNA
Rfam family: Bacterial small subunit ribosomal RNA
Source: RNAcentral